Molecule: long non-coding RNA, 149 nt
Filed under: Pan troglodytes (chimpanzee)
Lineage: Eukaryota; Metazoa; Chordata; Mammalia; Primates; Hominidae
Description: lincRNA
Source: RNAcentral
AGCAUCUGAGUAGCUGGGACAACAGGCGCCACACCACCACGCCCGGCAUUGAUAAACCUUGGCUGUUGCUUCAAAUAUAAAUGAUUCUAGAACAUCAGAAUAACUAGUAACAAUAAGAUUACUCAAAUAAGCACAUAAAAUCAAAGAAG